This 840-nucleotide ribosomal RNA is filed under the name Genyocerus serratus. RNAcentral's name for it is "eukaryotic LSU rRNA". The record is from RNAcentral. Lineage: Eukaryota; Metazoa; Arthropoda; Insecta; Coleoptera; Curculionidae.
CUGAGAACCGAAGGUCGAAGGGAGAAAUUCAAUCGCGAUCUGUUGCCGGCGAAUAGAUGUACGUUUGACGAACAAUAGAAAUAGGCGUGUGUGCUGUUCGCAAGGAUGGUUGCGCACGUUUGUUAUGUUGAACGCUAUGUACGUUUAUCGAUCCUGGUAAUGAACGUGUGCAAUUUUCUUCUGGUAGGACGUCGUGAUCCGUUGGGUUGUCAAUCUAYGGCGAUACGGUAAAUAGGCCCGCUGGUACGGUAGGACAAUUUUGUUCUAUCGCCAUUAUCGGUGGAUUUACCCGAACUGAUUGACUUGCCCGACGGUAUACGAACGGUUAAAGGUCGCUGCUGAAAGCGUUAGAGGCGUUGGCAAGUGCCAUUAUCUUUGAAUCUGUUAAUCGAGGUUCGUCCUUGAUUACGAUUUAAUAAUUGGUGCUGUUGGCUGCGUUUAAUGUUUCUAACUGACCUGCUGUUGAUUUUAUAUCACGGUACCGAUCUAYGACGCUACAGCUUUGGGUAAUUUCAGGACCCGUCUUGAAACACGGACCAAGGAGUSUAGCAUGUGCGCAAGUCAUUGGGUUAAUUAUUGUGAAACCCAAGGGCGUAAUGAAAGUAAAUAUCAACGAGAAUAAAGCGAGUGCUUGCGGUGUUUUUGCAUUGUUGUGCGCUCCUUUUUUUUGUUGCAGGAAAGAUAGAUAACGUGUGUAGCUAGCUAGGCUAGAGCCAAUAGACAGCAUUUUUGUUUGUAGAUUGGUUCGCAUGUUGUUUCGCAUUUCCGGGGCGUUUCAUAAUUUUGUUUCGGUUUUCGGUUUUUUCGAAUCGGAAUCGAGAUGAAAGGAGGCGCACCAUG